ACUCCUCCUCCAUGCCCAGGGACCGCGGGUGCUUGGGGCCCCGACGCGUACCCAGGUGCCAUCUGGCCCUCACCUCCCGCCGUAGCUGGCUGUGACGCCCGCCAUGGGCACACUGGGGCAGUGCAGUGAGAAGACGAGGAUGCCCAGCAGGCUGACAACGGUGCAGAACAGGCAGAACUUGAUGACCGCGGAGCCCCGGAGCCUGAGCUUGUUCACAAAGAAGCCGCCCAGGAAGGUGCCGCCACCACCCGCUGGCACCACCAGGGCAGCCACACCCCCUCCUCCCCCAGGGGCCUCUGCCGAGUCCCUGCAGGCUGUGACAAGGACAUUUGUCGAAGCCUGAGUGGCCACCAACAGUAAAAAAUUGCGAUUAGCUGGCAUCUAGCUUCUGGGCUGACAAGUGAGGAGGGCACAGAUAGUGGACCCUGGAAGGGUAGAGCGCGGUAGAUUGGCGGUGGUGGCCCACAUGCCUGGCACCUCUGCCAUGGCCCAGGGUACUCUGUGAACGCUGGCAGGAGGAGCAGCUCUGAGGAGGGGUCCCCACUUUCUGCAGACCUGCCCAGCCUGGGAAGGCCAGCCUGCCUCUGGCACCGAGAAACCCCCAGCUGCACUGUUCCAGGAGGUCCUGAGGCACCAGUGCCUGGCUCAUGGAACAGCCAGGUCCAAACCCUUCCUGCACCAAGUCACAGAAGCCAAGACUAGGUGGCUAGGGGGUGGAGCCCACCGUGGACCCUUCCACCUACGGAGCAUGUCCCACAAAGAGGGCAGGACCACCACUCUCCCGGCCUGUGGACAGAGUCGCUCAGCCCCCGUGGCGCUCUCCACACCUGCUCUGGCAGCGGGGGUGGGAGGGCACUCACUGCCAUGUGCCCUGUCUGGGUCUUUCUAGAAGAUGCCCUUGAAGACUCUGUUUCUGAGAACUGACAUAAAAGCAGAGGACCCCCAAGAUUCAGUUUUCUCACCAAACAAGGUGGCAGCUUCUGAGGCACUCAGGCUGAACUGGGACUCCAAGAACUUGGGGCUGAACGUGGACAUGCCGGUGAUGAGAGUGGCCUCGGUGGCCCCGGCCAGGCAGAGCAGGAUGAACGUGGGGUUCUUCAGCAGGAGCCAGAUGGAGCUGGGCAGAGGUGGGGGUGUGGAGAAGAGACUGAGGGUCAGAGUGGUGGGCAGAGGUCGGGGUGUGGAGAAGAGACUGAGGGUCAGAGUGGUGGGCAGAGGUCGGGGUGUGGAGAAGAGACUGAGGGUCAGAGUGGGCCAGACCCAGGGUGGGAGGAACCUGCUGUUCCUGAGGCUGUCAGCUCCCCGGUCUGAUUACAAAGGGCCCCUGUUCCGACAGGGAGUAGAGUGGGGUGCAGGCAGGUGGGGGACACCCACACUUAUUCCAGAGAAACCCAGGGGGCGCCAGGCUGAGCCUAUGCCUGUGGCCCACUUGUCCUGAAAGCUGCAGUCCCUGAUUAGGGAAAAACCUUAUCAGUGCCUUGGCCAGAGCUUCAGCUCAGGUGGGGAGAGACCCCAAGUGACCCAGGACCCUGUUCCGUCACUGGCCAGCAGCAGGGCCUGAAAAAGGGAACUGGCUGGGGCAGGCAGAGGCCACCAAGUCCAGGACCGGACAGGCCCUGGGAUAGGGGAAUGGAAUCACGGGAAUGGGGACUGUGGCCAGUCCCCAACCGCCAGCCCCUGGGAGAAGUGGGGCAGGAAGCCACUGGGAUUCGAACCCUCCAUGCAAGAAGCCCCUGGGUAGACGGACCUGGCUAGCUUGGUUUGCACUUGGGGGCCAGUGGCCCUGGGGGUGGUGAGGCCUCAACUGGGGCGAGUCCUUGGUGCAUGGGCCUGGAGCCCUGGGGGGAACUGUGGGAACUCUGAGCCGUCUGGCCCUGAGGGCUCAGCCUCAGCCUCCACAUCUGCCUGUUGCGGUCCUGGCUGUGGGGUCUCAGGAUAAGGACAUAGCCCCCUGGAAGCUGGGAAGGCCCCACAUCAGGCCUUGCAGUUUCUAACCCAGGAGGUGGCCGACAGCAGUGCGUCGGGGCUGCCUGUCCCUGCACACGAGGCCCUGGGGGGUGAAUGGAGGCUCUCCCUGUUUUUGUUAGCAUUGGAGGCCUGAGCAGGGCUAACGCCCAACCGCUGCUUAAGCGCAUAAGAUGCUGAGAUGGAAAACGUGUUGCAUGGUGUAAACCACGCAAAGCCCUCCCAGCCAGUGCAGUGAUCGAGGCAGACAGAAGGGAAACCGCCUCUGCAAAGAGAGGCUCGGCUCUCUCUGGGGUACACAGAUCACCCAGACUGGGCAAAGCUCACAUUCAUCCCAGCUCACAGCUGCCUGCAUCCUGUUCACAGCACGCUCCUGUGCGUGACCCUUCUCCCCCACUGAGUGGGGGGCUCUCGGCCUCAGGUGGGGGUGUUUGCAGACACAGCUAUUGUCCUGUCCCUGGAACUCAUAACAUAGACCAGGGGCAGAGACUGUUCCUGAAGCCCCAGGUCAUGGCACAAUAGCCUCUCACAUCAGCCCACAGUAAUGCAAAUUUUCACAAUAAAUGACAUGUCCAUGUCGCCUCUGCUCACACCGCAGUGUCGCUGACUUGAACCCCUGCGUCUGCAGCUUAGUGACAUCCUGUAAACCUACACUUUCCAGCCUCUCACCAGAGCAGACUGUCGGCCUCACAUCACCCCCACCUGCAGGAGGGCGGCUCUUUCCUCUCGGCCACACCUAGAGCCUGGUUCCGAUGAACGCAACUCUGAAUGCCUGGAACAUUCAAAUGCUCUUGUUUGAGGAGGUGGCCAAAUGUAAAUGGAUUCUGAAGAAUCAGGAACAGACGGUGCAGCCCUAGUUAGCCUCUGAGCCCCAACAGGCCCACAGGUGCCUUGCAGAGCUGAUGUUGGCGUCAGAAACUCCGCUCCAGCCUCACAGGCACUCUGCCUGCUUGGAGGUGUUCGCUGGCUCGCUCAGACUGACCUCAGCAGCCAUGAACAUGGGUUCUUUCUGUCCCCUUCCCUGAUUAAAAUGGGAGAGCCCAGUUCUUUCAAAAUUUAUUUCCUGACUUGAGGAUUGAAAAGCCUCUUCUUUCUGGUUAACUACUUGGGUCCCACGUCUUGAAAAAGGCAAGACGAUGGAGGACAAAGGAGACCCCAGCCCAUGCCCUCCCUUCCCCAGCCAGUUCUGGCAUGUGGGGUGACAGACCUGGGGUGGGCACCCUGGGGGGGGUCCCGGCGUGUGGGGGGAUGGGGCUGGGGUGGGCACCCUGGGGGGGUUCUGGCGUGUGGUGUGACGGGGCUGGAGUGGGCACCCUGGGGGGGUCCUGGCAUAUGGGGGGAUGGGGCUGGGGUGGGCACCCUGGGGGAGUCCCUCCCUGGGGCUUUUCCCAGACCUGCCCAGGCUCCGGGGUGUGUGGCUGCGUUAGGAGGCCCUGACUCUCUGAAAUGCUAUGCAAACUUCAUUUCUUAAUCACUGAUUGCUCGGCUGAAAUUCUCGUGUUGAAUUUGCCCAGAGAAUUAGUCAUGACUUUAAUAAAGGGAACAUGUCCCAUGAUUUAUUUCUUCCCAGCAACUGGUUUAGGGAACUAACCCUGGACAUAAACCUCCUUAUCACCUGAUGAACUGAAAGAGCCCCAGGGUUCCUAGGUCCACACUGGGGGCUCACAGCCACGCUGGGAACAGGGCGCCUGACCCUCAGCUCUAAGCCGCUCUGCUGCUGGGUGGAGGAGAGAGGGUGAGCCAGUGCCUACACGAUGUUCCCAAGUCCUGGGAACGUGGCCCCGGGUCAGCUUGGCCCAUGGGGUCACCCUCCUUAGCAGGCAGCUCCCAGCUCCUUUGGGGGGUCUAUCAGGGUCCUAAUGAGGCCUCUCUUUCCCAUCUUCAUCCAGCCCUGCUCCUCUCUGCCGUGGACAGCUUGGGGCUUUCUGAGGGGCCACCUUUGGCCCUGAUGCCUUCCCUCCUAUCCUGGUUGAGGGCAGGCAGCAGGGACUCACCCAUUGCCCACACCCUCCACCCACUAUGGCCAGUGAGACACAGCCAUUUGUGAGCUCAGGGACCUGCUGCUACAAGGGCACAAGAGUCUCCCCGUGCUGGGGCCUCAGACGCUGAGGACUUGGGUGGUGGCCACCCUGAGGGCCACCUGUGCCCAGCCCUGGGGAGAGCCCCCCAGGGAAGGCAUGAUCCCCAGGAGAGGCCGGGAGGGCCCGGGCCCCUCUGUUGUCCCUCUAGGACCCCACCGGCUCAGGGCCCCGGGUUCACCCUAGCAGUGCAGCAAGACAGCAAAGCAAGGCCGGACCACACUCAGCAGAAAGGGAAGGCAGCCAAGGCAGACGGCAAAGCAAGCAACCUCCCCAGAGGCCCUCGCAGCCCCGGGGAGGCGGCACUGGAACAGAAACCACGUGAGAAUGCAGCACAAGCCGGGUUUGGAGGUGUGGGAGAGCUGGGGCCCAAAGUGGGGCUGGGGGAAGGAGGGGAUGGAGGCCCUGCCCUGAUUGGGACAAGCCUGUUCCGUGGCCUGAGGGGGAGAAGCCGCUGGGGCAGAGGGGAGGCCACAGGACAGGAUGGACACACAACCUGCCUUGUGCCACAGCCAGGAGGCGUCUCUCCACCCAGAUGGGAAGAACACUGAGAAUGAGGGUGUGCCGCAGACUUGAUCAUGGCGGGGAAAAAGACAGCAGAGGAAACGGGGUGCCCCCUUCGCGAAGACUAAGGGACAGUCUCCCAAUGUGAAGGCUGGGCUGGGGAAGGGAAACCCACCUGGCAGCUGCCGAGGGUAACCAAGGAUGGGAACGGCGGUGAAGAAAGCAGCGGCCCCAGAGCCCAGGAAGCCGACCCACCAGGCGCCGACCCACAGUGGGCUCUCGGUGGUCAGCUCCGUCCUGUGGAAGAGGCAGUGGCACCUGGGUCAGCGUGCAGCCCACCUGUGCCCUCCAUGGCACACACACUGGGGGCUGCUGGCCCCUCCUCCGGGCAGACCUCCAGGGUCUGUCUGCACGCUGGUCAACACAGGCCCCUGGUGCUGCUGGCCACAGGUCCUGUCCCUUCCUUGCAGACUAAAGCAAACACCACCUUGGCUUAGCUGUCCCCCAAGACAGAUGGCUCCAUGCCUUGGCCCACGCUCCAGGGCUGGAGAUGCCACCUGUGGCCUGGUCCUGAGACCACGGUGGGGUUGGGCACUAAGAGGAGCAGCCUCUCCAGGCAACAGCGGGAGGAGGCAUCCCUCCCCACAGUGCAGAGGAUGACAGAUGGGGUUCCCAGGGACGCCAGAGGGCUCAGCUGGAGCUCACUGAGAGCUCCCCACGAAGGGACUGUUGUGCACGUGGCAAUUUGCACAUAAGUGCUUUCAAACGAAAAGGCGAGUGGAAAAUAACCAUGGGCUGAGGCGGCCGUGGAGUGGUAGAAGCCCAUCCAAGCUCUGGGCAUCCAGGGACGCGUCUUCACAGUGAGGACAAGCUCUGGGCUUUCGGGGAUGUGUCUUCACAGUGAGGCAGCGGCGGGAGGGCAAAAGGCCAGCAAAGGCCGGGAGCAGAGCCGCAGAGACAGACAGAGGACACAGGGAGCGCCAACACCCUGCAAGGCUGCAGCCAGGCGGCACCUGCUUGCUCCAGCGCAGAAAUGCUGCGGCCGCCUCCGGGGGCCAGACCCCGCUCUGCCUCCCCACUUUGUGCAAAGUGGGCCCAGAUCCCGGAGCCAGAAGGGGCACAGAGACUGAGAGAAGCAUCCAGACCCGGGACACGAGCUCCAGCCUACCUCCAGGCUCUGCCCAGAACGCACACACUUGACCCCACAUUAUCAAUCCGAGGCCAGAGGGGCUUUUGUAAGAGGUCAGAGUGCUAGAGACCUCCAGGAGAGGCGCCAUCUGCAGAAAGAGUCCCAAGGUGCAGCGGUGCCCAGGCCGAGUAACAGAGGACCUUGGAAACUUCACAAGUGCAGGAUGGGCAAGGGAUGAAUGGGGGGCCCAAACCCACAGAGCACUGGCGGUCAGCAAGGACAUGUCUCCUCUGCCUCCCCAUCUCCAUCUGUCUCUGUCUCUCUCUGCCUGUCGCUGUCUUCUUUCUGUCCCUCUGUAUCUCUAUCUCCAUCUGUCUCUGUGAAUUGGUCUGUCUCUACGUGUCUUUCCCUCUGUCUCUCUCUGCCUCUCCCUCCACCCCUCCUUGCUUUCUCCUGCUUACAUUUACAGAAACUAGGGUCACACACACAAGAUACAAAGAAAGGAAAAGAAACAGAAAAAUCUCAGUUUCAUUAGGGAACUAGUGGCCAGGGCUCGCUGGGCUUUGCAAGCGCUUAGGCCUCGGGCACUGCCUGCCUGCCCUGCCUCCUGCCCUGGGGCCGACUCCCAAGGCCCCUACAGAUCCUCCGAGUCCUCCAGAGCCAAGGCCAGCCUUGACUCCCUCCAGCCCGGGGGGUGCCCAGCACCUGCGCCGCGCCCGGCCUGACUCAGAGUGGGCCCUGCUGACUCUGAACCCCCUUCCAGAGACACGUGGGCCUCUCCAGCGCAGGCAGCUGGGUGCGCGGCCACUCACCGUCGGCCCAUUUCCGUGUAGAUAUUCAGCAGGGCACCUCCAAUCAGGUAGCCGGCAGCUGGGCCCAGGAUGGCCGCUGUGUAGAAGAUGGCUGCGAGAGAGGCAGAGGCGUCAGGGCCGCUGUGCACCACCCAGGGGCUGCGGAGGGCCGUGUGGGGCCCCGUGCCUGGGAGAAGCCCCGCACCCGCCAUUCUGCAUCUCCGGCCCACUCCCCUCAUGGGCCUCUUUAAGUUAGAUGAGUCUGUGCAGUUGCCACUGGGCCUGAUAUGGGUCAGCAUCAAUCUUUAAAAAUCCCCCUCAAAGCCAAGUGCACUGUCUUUCCCUUACGAAAGGGCAAAGGCCCUCGAAGCCCCGUUUGCAGGGCGUCUAAGUAGCCGCACAGAUGGACACUGGCAGGAAUUAGGGGCCCAGGGUGGGGAAAGGGACCAGAGAGGCCUGAGCCCCUCCGCCCAGCCACGCUCACUCUCCCACAGGCCGGGAUUUGGAAGGCUCGGUGUGGUGGGACGUCCCCUCGCUGGAGUGAGGUGAUCUCAACACCCGCCUGGGUUCUUGGGACGAGCACUGCCAGGUGACUGGGAUGAGCAGAGCUCAAGGAGGACAUGAGGAGGCUGAGGUCACUGCAGAGUCCGGCUGGGGCCAGCUGCUCCCCGUGACCAUCCUACGAUGCCCUUCCCGGGAGAGCCAAGCCAGGCAGGGGGACGCCGAGAAGUGGGGUCAGGCGGGCCGUGCACUGGGUCAACUCGGCCAUGUCGGACGGGCCAUGGGGCUUCCCUACAUCUCAACAAACAGGAGCAGGAAGCCAGUGAGGGGCCCAGGGCUGCCCCAGGGCAGUGAGCUCAGCUGCCUAGCAUAGAGUUAUAACAUAGAUCUUUACUCUUAGAUAGCUGUGAAGCAGCCAUGAGCUGCUUCAUGUUAUUUUUCCCCUUAAAGUUCUGACUCUCCAGAUUUGCUCGGUCUUUUCCACACCCCUAUGUGGCUGCCGGAGCAGACACGGUGCUUACGGGCAGACGUGGGUGUGGUCUCAGGGCUCUGUCCCUCCACCUCUAUGUGGCUGAUGGAGCCAACAUGGUGCUUUCAGGGAAACAUGGGUGUGGCCUUGGGGCUCUGUCCCUCGUCACUUAUCCCACAUCAAACUCCUUCCCAGGCAAGUGCCAGGUUCCCAGCCGGAGCAUGAGGUCUGCCGCCAUUGGACCUGGUGCCACCCAGCGCCUAGUGACUGUGCCCCUUGGUCCUGGCAAGGUGGGCUGGACACCACGCAGGGGUUGCACUGAGGCUCCCGGGCACAGCGGCCUGGAGCCCUGAGCAGGGUCCACAUGAGAAAGCCGGAGUCCCUUACAUCAGCUUUGGGCCUCAGGGCGGACCCUCCUCCCCUGCCAACUCUUGCAGCAGCCCCAGGGCCAUGCAGACAAGGGGUACACGAAGGCAGGGGGCGGGGCUGGCUCCGGCCAGUUACCCUCACUCCUGCAACACUGCCCUCAGCCACCCCUGCCAGCACUUACCCCGCCAGCCCCACUCACCAAUGUAGACGGGCGAGCAGCUGGACUUGACGUUCUCAUCCAGGUAGGUGACGCCCAGCGUGUAGAGGGGUGUGGCACCCACGCCAUGCAGGAACUGGCCCAGCAUGAAG
RNAcentral lists this long non-coding RNA (8115 nucleotides) under Homo sapiens (human). RNAcentral describes it as "non-protein coding SLCO4A1-AS1:8". The record is from RNAcentral. Lineage: Eukaryota; Metazoa; Chordata; Mammalia; Primates; Hominidae.